Molecule: long non-coding RNA, 210 nt
Organism: Rhinichthys klamathensis goyatoka
Lineage: Eukaryota; Metazoa; Chordata; Actinopteri; Cypriniformes; Leuciscidae
Exons: 3
Source: RefSeq, a predicted model, not a curated record
UUCUAAAAAAGAAAAGGAUUGUCCCCACAACAGCCAAGAGGUGCACGCAUAUAGAAGUGUGAUCAAAACAAGAAAGAGAAAGGGGAAGAUGGAGAAAUUGAUAGAUUGGCUCCCCUGCAAACUGUGCGGGAAAACCUGGCCUCCAACCUGGGAGGCUGCCUGACACACACACACAUACACACACACACACACACACUCACUCACUCACUC